AAGGAAACUUCGGGGUGCUGCUGCUAGAAGAAGGGGAGACGGAUGCGUCACAAGAGAAGCAAUGUGUGUCUGUACCCCAGUGCUUUGUCGGUCCAGUGAGCGAGCCUGAGGCAGCUGAGAGAGGGAGGAAGGCAGCUGCUCGUGGCCUCAGAGGGGGCGAGGGCCUCACUGGGCAGCCUGGCCCCAAGUCCUGCUGCUCUGCUGUGCCACGAGCCCCCAUCUCCGACAGUUCCCCCGGCCCUGCUCCUCCCGGCUGCUGCGGGAAGGCACCCAGGCCCUAAGCCAGCCACGAUGGCCAGUGUGGCAGCUGGAUAGUGCCACCCAAAGAUGUCCAGGUCCUAAUCCCCGAAACCCAAGAAUAUGUGACCUUCCAUGGCAAAGGGACUUUGCGGAUGUGGUUAAGUUGUGGGUGUUGAGACAGGGAGGUUGUCCUGAAUGACCCAGGUGGGCCCGACGCGAUCACCAGCAUCCUCACGUGAGGGAGGCAGCCGGAGAUUGGACACAGAAGUAGGACAGGUGACAGUAGGAGUAAGAGGUUGGAGUGAUGCGAGGAAGAGGUCACAAGCCAAGAGUGCAGGUGGCCCGCAGAAGGUGGAAAAGGCAAGGAAACGGACUGUCCCCCGGAGACUGCAGAGGGCGCCAGCUCUGCCCGCACCGUGACUUCCGCCCAGCGAGAUGGAGUUGGGACUCCUGGCCUCUGGAACUGUAAGGGGAUACGUUUGUGUUGUUUGAAAAGUGAGCAAGACACAGAGUUUCAGUUUUGCAAGAUGGAAAAACUUCUGCGGAGCUGUUUCACAACGAUGUGAGUAUGCUUUUCACAACUAAACUAUACACUUAAAAAUGGUUAAGGCUGUAAAUUUUAGGUUAUGUGUUUUUUGACCACAAUUUAAAAACAAGUUCCCACGCUUGUGGUAAUGAGUGACAGCAGUCACGGGCACUGGCCAGGCCCGGAGGCACGGAGCCUGUGUGUCUCAGGGAGCGCAGUCCUGGCCCCUUCCCAGGGCGAGCCUCCUCCGGGGGCGGAGGGGCCGUGCGGGAGCCAGCUCUGUGCCAUCAGCUAAACUGACAGAGGACAAGAGCCACAAGCGCUGGCAUCUCUCGAGCCUCCUGUGAGCAAGUGCUGUCCACACACCUCCCUUCCUCUUGUCAACAUCUUUCCACGAUGAUCCCCACUUCCCCACGAGGAAACAGGCUCAGAGAGGUGAGGUGACUUGCCCAAGGGCACACACCACGGAGCAGAGCUGGGUUCUUAAUCUCCGUUUCCUGCUUCCUCGAGGCUGCUUCAGCCAGUGUCUCGCAGCUGCUGUUACAGGCGUUCCAACGCCCUAAGGCUGCCUCUCAGCGGCUUUUACAAGCCACCGUAUUGCCGACUUUCUCCUGUUGGUAACCAGACAUUCUCUCCCAGCUUAUCAGAGACCAGAGUCUCAUUCUGUCCCCAGACGCCCACCAGUAUACGAGACUGUCCAGGAAAGUGCAGAGCCCCGAGUUAGCUCAUGGUCUAUGGGCGCUUCUCUAAGGCCCCACGGCAUGGCCUGAGAUGGGGGGGUGGCAAGCUGGUGGCCAACAGGCAUGCCUGGCCUGCAGAGGGAGUCUGCCUGGCCUGCACCGUCUUGGGUAUUAUUUUUACUUGGUGCCCAACAUUUAACUUCAGAAGAGUUCUCUCCAAAAUCAGAAGUCAGGAGCGUUCAGUUCUGCUUCUGUGUAGUCAGGACGGGCUGGGCUCACCCCUGGAAACAAACACCUCCGAGUCUCGGACACCUCCCACACGGACGUUUAUGCCUUUCUCACGCUGCAUGCGCAGUGCGAGCGGCCCGGGGUCUCUGUUCCAUGCAGUCAUUUCGGGGCCCGGGCUGAUGGAGGCCCUGCCAUCCUUCAGUGGCAUCUGAGACACGGGGCCAUGUCAGUUGCUGCUUCAGGGAAGGAAGAGACAGAAGAGUGCAUGGAUGUCGCACAGCCUCAGCAUGUUACACACAUCUGAUUUCUGUUCACUUGUCAUUGACUGGAUGUGGUCACGUGGCCCAUCCACAUUCCAAGAGGGCUGAGAAGUACAGUCUUCUGUGAACGCUAGUUUCACUAGUUCUGAUAUUGGUGAAUACUAGUCUGCCACACUUUCGUAUUUGGCAGCAAUUCACUGGAGCCGAGUGAGCAUGCCCCUCUCAGGGCUGCCAUAGACUGGUGUUCAGGAUGUGCACUGCACAGCUGCAGGAGGCACCAAACAUGUCAUGGUUUCUGGGAUCAGUUCUUCCUGCAGAUGUGCAGUGACAACCUACACGGCUGUCCGGAGCAGCCCUUCCAUCCCUAGACAGGUACAUGUGUUCCACUUGCCCCAGUGCCAGGCGAACCUCUUCACUGAAGUCUCGGUAGCAUUCCGAUUGCACCCUCUGUCUUAGAGUCACUAAGUGGAUUCAGCCUAAAUGCCAAUUCCUCAUCAAUAUCAGCUUCCUAUAGGGUAAAGUCCAAACUCCUUCGCAGGGCAUUCAUAGAACUUACAAAUGGGCCUCAGCUUCUUCACGCCAGCUUCCCUUCUCCAGCUAUCAUGUGUCCCCAUCCUCUUGUCAGUAAUUCCUGAAGUGAGUUAGAUGGGCCUCUGAACCCUCCGAGUGCUCCCUAAAGCAAAUCAGCUUGGGAAAUAGGUCACACUCCAUCCUGCGCUGGAGAGCCACGGUGGACACUGUGUAUUAAAAG
This 2685-nucleotide long non-coding RNA is filed under the name Equus caballus (horse). Its description in RNAcentral is "lncRNA (ENSECAG00000059476.1)". Lineage: Eukaryota; Metazoa; Chordata; Mammalia; Perissodactyla; Equidae. The record is from RNAcentral.